Molecule: non-coding RNA, 1057 nt
Organism: Penaeus vannamei (Pacific white shrimp)
Lineage: Eukaryota; Metazoa; Arthropoda; Malacostraca; Decapoda; Penaeidae
Source: RefSeq, a predicted model, not a curated record
CUUGAGCGAGAGAGAAGCACCCACAUGUCCACUCACGCCGGGAAGAUGGCCGCGAAGGAAAGGUUCUGGAAGCGGAAGCUGAAGCUGAACAAAAUGUUCAUCUGUAUACAAGGACUUGCAGGAUGCAGCUAAAGUGUUUGGAUUAUACCACUAACAAGUGGCUUAGGUCCUACAUUUCUGAAUGCCCAGGCUUUGAUAUGAGGCAUAGAGCAUGGAAUUAAAGGUGUGGUCCAUGUGGAAAGAAUUGGAAAACUUUCAAUGUAAAUUUUGAAGACCGUCUGUCUGUUUGAUAGAUGGCAAGAUGACUUUCCUUGAACUUGGAGGAUCUCUCCCAUGUUUCAACUCCUUGAGAAACUAUAGAAAGGGAGGCUGAAUGUGCAGCUAAGGACCUUGCUGGAGUGAAUGUUGUGGAUACAUACUUUGGGAAAGCCGAUAUGAGCUGGCACUGUAGGUGUCCUGUGGCAGCAAGCAAGUACAGGUCAAUGUGGCCAGAUUUUUAGAUUAAACAAGUUGCUGCUUCAGUGAAGACCCUGUAAUGAAGUUGCUCCUGACUGCUGACCAGUACAGAUUUUGGAUGGAAGAUGCUCUAUCACCACUGCAGAAAAUAGACCAGAGAAUCCUUUCCUCAAAGGUUUGUGCUAAACCAGAUGCUGAAAGCUGCAGUUCAUAAGAUAGAAGAUGGAACAAAUGAUUUCUUGACUGUUCCGUUAUGCAUCAGGCCCUGUGUGUAGAUCCAUCCCAGUUGUAUGUCGCAGGAAUGGGGUAUAAUAAGGUUUCAGAUGGAGUUGCUGUAGAUGUAUCAUAUGCUGAGAUCCUGGCAGUGGCUGGCAAGGCUGUGAAUCCUGUUCUGGAAAUGCCUUACAUUUGAUGUUAGUCUUUAGAAGAUUUGAGGAGACAAUGCCAACCAGGAUAUUUCAGUGUUGGAACAGUUUGUACCGACAUUGCUUCAGAUGCUCAAGGCUCUGGCAGUCCUUUUUUUCCACUGCUUGUAAAGUUAACAAAGGUCUUGGUAACCUCUAGACUGGUUGAAGAUUCUGAAUAAAUGUUCAUAAAUUAU